UGGGGAAUUUUGCGCAAUGGGGGAAACCCUGACGCAGCAACGCCGCGUGAGUGAUGAAGGCCUUCGGGUCGUAAAGCUCUGUCGGAGGGAACGAAACCUUCCGGGGUGAACAAUCCCGGGAUUUGACGGUACCCUCAAAGGAAGCACCGGCUAACCACGUGCCAGCAGCCGCGGUAAUACGUGGGGUGCAAGCGUUGUUCGGAAUUACUGGGCGUAAAGCGCGUGUAGGCGGCCAAACGGGUCCGGUGUGAAAGCCCUCGGCUUAACCGAGGAAGUGCGCCGGAAACUAUUUGGCUAGAGUACAGGAGAGGAGGACGGAAUUCCCAGUGUAGAGGUGAAAUUCGUAGAUAUUGGGAGGAACACCGGCGGCGAAAGCGGUUCUCUGGACUGUAACUGACGCUGAGACGCGAAAGCGUGGGGAUCAAACAGGAUUAGAUACCCCGGUAGUCC
This 450-nucleotide ribosomal RNA is filed under the name uncultured bacterium. RNAcentral describes it as "bacterial SSU rRNA". It matches the Rfam family "Bacterial small subunit ribosomal RNA", at positions 355 to 796 of the family's 1533-position model. The record is from RNAcentral.